This 1508-nucleotide long non-coding RNA is filed under the name Setaria viridis. Its description in RNAcentral is "long non-coding RNA (SVIR_LNC008690)". The record is from RNAcentral. Lineage: Eukaryota; Viridiplantae; Streptophyta; Magnoliopsida; Poales; Poaceae.
AACUCACGGAACCCUAAUUUCAUUUUGCUUCAUGUGAGCCAGUUAGUGCUUAAGUGACCCGAGUAGGCUAGGUUAGGAAGUUAAUCACUCUAGUUUAGCCAAAUUUCAAAAGCGAGGGAGGAUUGUGGGUUGUGCCCUGUCCAUGUAUCUCAAGAUGUUCUUGAUGAAUCAAUCAAUGCAUGGUUAGUGUUUCUAAUCUUGUCUCCCUUGCCCAUUUUCCUUUUUUUUGAAUUCCGGAGGUCUUUUAGAGGAUUUUUCGUUCUUGAGAUUGGGCAUGGUUUUGAUGCAAAACAUGCGGAGGAUCCGUGUGUUAGGAUGUGACUUCACUUGCCCAUCCUUUGGCUCAUAGUUCACAUGAGCACUUCAGAUUUGAGGAUUUGGUGAAGUUGCCCCCUCUCAAGUGUUCUUCGUUGGAUCAAUUCUUCAUCCUUUUGUGUGGAUCUUGUUCGUGGAGGUUCACUUUGCUCAGAUCAAGCCUGCGUCUAAGUUUCGUUGGAUUUAGAGUUCGUCCGCUCGGCUUCCUCAAAUUUGGAUUUUGAAUCAGGUUGCUCCUCGUGGGGUUUUGAUGAGUACCAGAUAUCCGAUGAAAUUUAAUGUGGUCACAUCGGACACCCGGUGAGUGCAUGAGUCGGCCGGGAUUCAUCUCUGCUGUGGAGUUUUAUUCUCACCGAGAUUUCCGGUGGUCAUGUCUGUGACCACCCACGAAUGUAUGUGACCACUGGUGAGUCGUGGGUGUAACAUCCUGCAAAUUUAUGAAAUGUUAAUUUUGAGCAAAAAGUGAAAAAUUCAAAUUUUUUGUUUGAAUUGUAUGAACCAUGAAAAUAAAUUGCAAAUUAAGGUUAAAAUUUCUUUUUCACUUCCAAAAUCUCUAGAAAAUGAAAAUGGUCCACUAAAAUAUUUAAGCAUGACCUUGCAGGAAUGAGUUGAAUUAUUAUUUGGAGUUCUUUUGGGCUGAAUUCAAAUUUGAAAUCUAAAUUCAAAUUUGAAUUAGAAAAACAAAAACAAACUUCCUAAACUUACCUGGGCCGAAACCACGCCCGGCCUGCGAAACCGCGCUGGCCUCCUUUACUUCGCCGGCCUGCCCACCACACCGCCUGGGCCGAAACCAGCUGGCUCUCCCGGCGCAGCAACUGGCCCACCGGCCUGCCCGUCCGCUCACGCCAGCGCCGCGCGCACACCUUCGCUCGCUCUUGCCGACAGGUGGGACCCACCUGUCAGCUUUCUCUCCUACCUCCACCUCCUCCGCUGACCGCUCUGUGCCGCGCCGCCCCGUACUGCUCCACACCCCGCACCGCGACAAAGAAGCCGCGGGAUCCUUCCAGACCCAUGCGCCGCGCACCCCGUGACCCCGCACUCACCAACCUGCACCCCGGAGCUGUUAGAUGCUCACCACGCUGCCUCGCGCGCGUAUCCUGAAGAUCACUAGCCAUCCUCCCCGUCCCGACGCCCAAACCCUACGUGCGCCGCUAUAUAACCCUUCGCCUGCACUGUUCUGGGCAGCCGCUUGC